This is a long non-coding RNA of Cebus imitator (Panamanian white-faced capuchin), 1035 nucleotides long. RefSeq lists it as uncharacterized. The record is from RefSeq and is a predicted model, not a curated record. The transcript has 8 exons. Lineage: Eukaryota; Metazoa; Chordata; Mammalia; Primates; Cebidae.
GACCUACGGACCGGAAGUGGCCUGGGUCGGGGUGGGGUCGGGGUGGGGUCAGGUGGGGCCGCUAGGCCGGGAGGGCGGAGGCCCUGAGCCCCAGCCUCCCGCCUCGGGGCCACAUUGGGAACCUUAUCAACAGCAUCGGCAUCUCCUCUGAUGGCCCCAGCCACAAUCUCUUCCACUUCCAGCUGCUUGAGUCACUUCUGAGGCUCAACUGGGAGACCCCUCACACACAGGUGAAGGUGUGGCUGCAGCACCUCAGACCGCCUGGUCUCCUCAGGAAUGAAGGCCAUUGUCGUCCUCCUCCUCCUCCUCUCGUGAUUGGCAGUCCCCACCCACAGCAGCUUCUGGCAGUGUCAGAGGAUGGUCAAACACAUCACGGGAUGGAGUGCCUUCUUCUCCUAUUACAGAUACGGCUGCUACUGUGGGCUUGGGGGCAGAGGGCUCCCUGUGGAUGACACUGACAGCCACCUCUGGGUGUCAUGAAAGCAAGGACUACCUCUGCUUUUUCAGACAGUUGUCUCCUCCGACACCAUCACAGUGCCCGGCUCAUAAUGCUGCCGGGCAAGUGACUGUUGCUGUGAGAAGCUGAAGGAGUCCGGCCGCCAGCCUGUGCUGACUGGCUACAGCCCCACACCGUCAAUGGCACCGUGGUUUGAGGAAAAGCUGCUGAUGACAGGGAUUUGGGCAGUGGCCAAAGAGAUGGAGAGAAGAGGGCAGAGCAUGGGCUGUUUUAAACACAGAGAUGAUGAGCAGGACCUGCUGGCAGACUGGUUGUGAGAAGUGGAAGAAGCGGAGGCAGUGAGGACAGCUGCCCCCGCCCUGAGGAAAAACCCGGGCUAGCCUGCUGGAGGAGAGCCGCUGGGAUCAGUGGCCUCAGCUGACUUCAGACACCGAGAGAGAGCUCAGUGAGCAGUGGCGUGUACCUGACAAGAUGCAUGAGGGAACCUGGUUGAGACCAAAACAACUGCCCAGCUGAGCCCAGGCUGAACUGCCAACGUGCAGAGUUGUGAGCUAAAUAGGUAAAGGCUUUUGUUCUAA